RNAcentral lists this transfer RNA (72 nucleotides) under Caligus rogercresseyi. RNAcentral's name for it is "tRNA-Cys". The record is from RNAcentral. Lineage: Eukaryota; Metazoa; Arthropoda; Copepoda; Siphonostomatoida; Caligidae.
AGGGGGCACACGGAGUUGAACCAUGGACCUAUCGAUCUGCCAUAGAUUGCUCUACCACUGAGCUAUACCCCC